UCCUCGUGUACCGGGGACUUAUGAACAUGGAUGGGUCCCCC
RNAcentral lists this small RNA (41 nucleotides) under Acidianus hospitalis W1. The record is from RNAcentral. Lineage: Archaea; Thermoproteati; Thermoproteota; Thermoprotei; Sulfolobales; Sulfolobaceae.